CAAGGAAUAUUGCGCAAUGGGCGAAAGCCUGACGCAGCGACGCCGCGUGGGUGAAGAAGGCCUUCGGGUCGUAAAGCCCUUUUGCUGGGGAAGAGAAUGGACGGUACCCAGCGAAUAAGCCCCGGCUAACUACGUGCCAGCAGCCGCGGUAAUACGUAGGGGGCAAGCGUUGUCCGGAUUUACUGGGCGUAAAGAGCACGCAGGCGGUUCGUUAAGUCGGUUGUGAAAUCCCACGGCCCAACUGUGGGGGGUCGACCGAAACUGGCGGACUUGAGGGAGGCAGAGGGAAGCGGAAUUCCCGGAGUAGUGGUGAAAUGCGUAGAUACCGGGAGGAACACCAGUGGCGAAAGCGGCUUCCUGGGCUUUUCCUGACGCUGAGGUGCGAAGGCGUGGGGAGCGAACCGG
This 405-nucleotide ribosomal RNA is filed under the name uncultured bacterium. Its description in RNAcentral is "bacterial SSU rRNA". It matches the Rfam family "Bacterial small subunit ribosomal RNA", at positions 355 to 776 of the family's 1533-position model. The record is from RNAcentral.